RNAcentral lists this long non-coding RNA (16150 nucleotides) under Malus domestica (apple). RNAcentral's name for it is "long non-coding RNA (MDOM_LNC008945)". The record is from RNAcentral. Lineage: Eukaryota; Viridiplantae; Streptophyta; Magnoliopsida; Rosales; Rosaceae.
GAUGCAAAGCUGACGAGAGGGAACCAACUGCUAAUAGUCAACAACAAUCUCAGAGAAAUGGGCAAGAAGGUCCGGCGGAGAAACAAAGAGACCAGAAAUCAUUUUCAAUUCUUCAAUUCUUGUUAAUUCUUUUGGCCCCCUAGCUAAGAUACGGGAUGUUUGUUCAAAUCUCUUACAGAUCCUCAGAUGAAUAGUGCAAUUUUGGUUUUUGGGAUGACAUUAAGAAGUCGGAAGAAGUUAAAAUAGAGUUUUGAUUCAAUAUGAUGCAGUUGCUUGUAAUAUUAUGUUGUUCUUCUGUCUUUGUCAAUCAGAAAACACAUCCAGGAAGAUGUAAUCCAAAAAAAAACCAAAUGAGUGUUUGGGAUUUAAGAUUUGAUACCUGGGUUCUGAGAUUGGAUCGAAGAAAACGAUUCAUCCCCAUAUUUUUUAAAUUUCUUUUAUCUUCUGUAAUAGAACAUGCAAAGAAGGAGAGUUCUUCAGUGACUGGGAGUCUCUGAGAGCCCUUGGUGACUAGUCAGUCUUUCUACACUAAAGUGAAAUGAAAGAUGCGGAAUGUGUCUCAAAAUGUUUCAAUACCACAUUGCCCAUUAUAUUUGCCUUUAUUAUCCAAAUCACCAAUGCUUAAUAAUGAUGGUGAUUACAUAUAUCAUAAUCAUUGACUCUGCUGCACAAGUGGAAAUGUGGAAUCAUCUUUUUCUCUCAAACUUCGCAAAUGUGGGAUUUGCUUGUAACAAUAUUUCUCAUUCGAGCGAUAUUUUAAUAUAAUAUUGUUACAUAAAAAAAAGUUUGAAUAUGAAUGUUUACACUGUCUAGUUAACUUGUCUACGUCUAGAACUACAAUAUUUGUCAUUAGCAAAGCAUAAACUUAAAACUAUUGUCAGUAGAGAAAUGUGAUCCGGCGAAGAAACAAAGAGACUGGAAAUGUCUGUCCUUGAACUGAAACUGGAUGGAAUCCCUAGACGACAUUCAAAGCGCCAUGAGGAAGUUUCUCUUUACAAUCUAUGUAUCGUCAGUUGCUCAUGCGUUUGUUCGCAAAAUUUGAUAUCAUUAAUAAAAAUGGCAGAGUUCUACACCCAUGGAUUUUUCUUAUCGAUACAUAAGCUUCUAUAAUGUUUUUAGGUGGUGGCGCUCGUUUGGUGUAGGUGGUGUUGAAUACCAAAAAUUUUCCAUCUGUGAGAUCCCACCGAAGCGCCUUCGGUUUGGGAGAUGAUGGCAAAUCCAAGCCAACAAGAAGACAACAAAGAUGAAGCAUGAGAAGAUGGUGGGAUCCAAGUUUUGGGUGCUGGUUUGAUUUUGGUUUGUCACGAUGAUUUUAAUGGUGAUGCGGUGCGGCAGUGAUGUGGUAUACAACUAGAGAUGUGAAAAAAGAAAGAAAAGAUGGUUGAGAAGGUGAAGAAAUAACUACACUAUUUCUCAAGAUGAAUGAAGAUAACUCACACUAUUUCAGAAACUGAACCAAAAUAGCCCACAUUGUUUCUAGAAGUACAACAAAAUAACUCACACUGUUUCUCAAACUAAACCAAAAUAAUCAACACUAUUUAUGGAACUGCAGCAAAAUAAUCAACGCUAUUUCUGAAACUAUAGCAAAAUAACUCACACUAUUUCUGAAACCACAGCAAAAUAAUCUACACUAUUUCUGGAAUUAAAUCAAAAUAACUCACACUAUUUCUGAAAUUACAGCAAAAUAACCUACACUAUUUCUGAAACUAAACCAAAAUAACUCACACUAUUUCUGAAACUAUAGGAAAAUAACUUACACUAUUUCUGAAACUGAACAAAAUAAACCAUACUAUUUCUUAAGCUGAACCAAAAUAACACACAUUAUUUUUGAAGCUAUAGCAACAUAGACUAAUUCCCUUCAUGUAUAAGUCUGCACAUAGACUAAUUUUAUUUUAUUAUAGACUAUUAAACUUUGAAGCCGACCCAACUUAAUGGAAAAAUGCUUUGUUGUUAUUGUGUAGACUAUUAAACUUUAACACUAAACUAAGAUGUAUAAUGAAAAAUUACCAAUCUUCCCUCCAAUGUAUAUUACAUGCAAGUAACGUGACUUAAAUUAAUGGAAAAAUGAAUAUAGUAGGUUCAAAUCUAAUAUUAGGGAUGUAAUUGGUAGAUUUUUAUAAUUCAAUGACUGAUUGUUCUGAAAAAAAUAGUUUAGAGACCUAAUUUUCACUCAGAUUAUAAUUCAAUGACUAAAUUGGCAGUUUACCCUUUAUUUUUUAUUUUAUGUAUAACUCAAUUGUUUGUAAUUGGACAAUUGGAAUGGUGUUUUAAUUUUUCACAAACAAUACUAUUUGCAUAAAUUUAUCUAACUAUAGAGAGGCGAAAGAGUUUGAAAUCGAGAAGUAAUAGGUUGAAGAGAAAUAUUCUAUCACGACAAUCUCCUACUUGCAAAAGGUUUUCUAAGUGUUGUUAACUUGUGUUAGGAAUAUCAAUUAUAUAUUUAUGAUUGUUGAAUUGGCCAACUGGGAUAUGACAUAAUUUGAAACGGACAAAUAAUAAGUAGACAAAAAGGUGUUUGAGAAAAAAUUGGUGAAGAGAGAUUAUAUUCACACACUCUAAAUUAUUUUCUCCACAUCCCUUUAAUUUUUUUUAAUAUUUUUCUAACAAGUGUUAAUGGUGUUUCAUAAAAAUAUUAAAAAAUUAAAAGGAUAUGAGAGAAGUAAUUUGAGGUGUGUAAGUAUAAUUUCUCUUCGUGAAUAACCAAACGGACAAAUAGUAAGUAGACAAAAAGAACUUUGAGAACAGAAGAUUUUGAGAAAAACCAACAACGAUGCAUGAAAGUUUUUUUCUAAUUUUUUUAAUUUUUAAUUUUUUUAAUUUUUAAAGAAAGUUAGGAUAGGCCCAAAUCAGUUUUGGACCAGAAUAGGAUUUCAUCUGGAUUUUCUUUGUGAGAAUUAUAGGAAUCAAUUAUCCGUUCAUUAUUCAUUCUACGAUCUGAAAUUAUUGUAAAUUUUUUUAUUUAAAUUAAAUACAAAUAAUACCUACCAAAAGUUAGCCGCAUAAUGUACAAUAAACGACUAAAAUAAAUUAAUCUUCACAAAAAGAAUCUGGAAAGCAUCCUCAUCCGCAUCCUUCUGGACCCUUGGUGCCUCCUCCAAUGUUUCGAGUAUUUUUAGUCUCUUUCUUACUCUGUCAGUCAUCAUGCACUAUAUUAUGCUAACUACCCUGCAGGCUAAAGGGCUAAUUUAUUCCAACUAAAUUUAAUUUUGAAAAAAUUAGUAUCCGAUUCUUAGUUACUAAUGUUCUUUGAUGAAACCUUAUUAGUUUUCAAAUUUUGAUCAAAGUCCCUAGCAUUAAUGCAAUAAUAAAUUUACAUAUCAGUUAUAUAAUUUUUAAAACAAAAACUAAUAAUUGAUUUAGGAUUUUAAUACUCACACCUUUAGUAAACUCCUAACUAAUUUUCAAUUCAAAACAUUUCCAAAAUAAAAAAAAAAUUAGAAUAAGUUUGUACUCCUUAAUUUUUUAUAAAAAGGUCUCCAAUUUUUUAAUCUUAUAUGUACCCAUUCUUAAAUAUAUCAAUUUGUUGUAGUAAAAUGUACCCUUUUUUCAUAUAUAAAAUCUAUUCAAUUUUUUCCUAACCAUUUUUAAACUUAUAUGAGUACAUUAUUUUUCCAUAAAUCCAUGUCAAGUUUAAUCAAAGAAAUUUACUAAUGUUAUGAAGCCAAAUAUCUAUUAUUUUUUGUGUGGUUUUGAAGAAUGUACCCAUAUUUUGGUACAAUAAUUUUUUUUGUUAAUUUUGAUGAAUGUACCCACGUUUAUAUACAUACAUACACACACACACACACACACACACAAAAUAUAUUGGAGAGUAUAAUUUAUAUUUUAAUAAUUUUAAUCCACAAAUUAUGGGUUUUAUUUAUUUAAAAUCUCAUUAUUACAAACAACUAUAAAUUUCAAUUUUUAAUUUAAAAAAUAUAAUAACCUACAUGAAAAUACAUUAUCACAUUAAUUUCAGGGACUUCGAUAAAAAAUUGAAAACCAACAAGGUUUCAGUAAAAGAAUAUUGAUAAUUAGGAACCGUAUCCAAAGUGAUCCUUUAAUUUUUUUUAACUAGCAUUGUCAUAGUGUUCUAAGAAACCAUACUUGGGUAGUUUCACAUGCCUUGUCAUCUUGUGGGUAUUUACAUUAUUAAUUAGCUUGAAUUUAACAAUAAUAUUGUGCUAACUCCCCUGCAAAUAUCCUCACGGGUGUACACUCCCCGCCGAUAUAUAAUAACCUUUUGUUGAAAAAGCUUUUGUUUGCCUUCCAUGCAACCCACGUUAGAAUUAGUAUAAGGACUUUAAUUAGUUAGGCUAAAUGGUAAAAUAUUAAGGGUAAAGUUAGGGAGACUAAAUUUUGUAAACUGAUGAUGUAGUUGUUAAUGUUUGGAUUAUUACGUCAAUUAGUUUACAAAUUUAGUUCAAAAUUUUAAUCUCCCUAACAGUACUCAAAUAUUAAAGGUAGUUCAAAGCCGCUUCAUUAUUAUUCUUUGUGUUUAGUGACAAACGUUAUAGUGUACUCGGAUCACAAGGCAGAAUGUAUCGUAAUAUAAAUAGAAAGAAUCGUGUCAAUAAUUAUCUUUCAUAGAGCGAUAUGUUUGUUUUCAAUACUCAAAAUGUUCAUUAGUAAAUGUCAAAUUGCGUUUAGGAUUCAUAUCAUAGGGAUUCGAUGUGAAGAACAAAGCGUUGAUUGUAAACUACCUGACGCACUCCUCCUUCCCCUUUAUCCGGGCUUGGGACCGGCAACAUAAGCUAAAUUUACACGUGUAGAGUUAAAUAUAAGAAAAUGUAUGUAGUAUUUGGAAUUAACGAAAAACUUAGCACAAACCAGAGCGCAGACCCUACUAUUGAGAUAUGGUUUAGUGGUGGUGGUGCUGUAAAUGUCAAAUUACAAAAUGAAAAUAUAUUAAAAUAAAGGAUGAAAAUAAGUAAUGUGAACAAUGAUCUAAUGUGUAUAUAUAUAUACACACACACCAAGAUGCAGAGAUAUAAGCUCCCACCAUCAACCAUACGAGGUAGGUAGUGGAGAAAGAAAACAUGAGAGGUUACCUUCUCUCCUUGUUUUUUUCUGGGCUCACUGAAAGACAUCAUUCAGUUAUGUGGUGCUGAUCCGACUGAUGGCUUCGUCGAUGUUCCGUUAACGGAAUAUAAUUCCGAAUUACAGAAACCGUAUGACGUACCACUGGAGGAGCGCUACAGUUUUGUCAAUGGUGUAAGGCGUUUGUGGGUCUAUGCUGAUGAUGACAAGCCCCAUGACCCUAAUAGCCAAACCCAGCCACGUACUGAAGUUCGCAUGAGGGUACGCCUCCUAACCUGCUAUAUAUGACUAGCCCCAUAAUCCUACUGAUAAAUGUUUAUGUUGGUAUAUGAUGGAUUUGAUUAGAUUGAUUUUUUUACUGAAUAUGUUGUUCAGAUCACAGUUUUAUGAAUAAGUCUCUUAUGUUGUCAGACAGUCUAAUAGAAUACCUUUGUCUUGUAUAUAUAUUAUAAAUACUCCUACAUUGUCAAAUGAUUUGACAAAAGAGAACAUUACUCUAUAUAUACCGUGAGCAAGAAUUACUUGUCAAAAUAUGAAUCUUAGUCAUUGAUCAUGUUAAAUUUUAUCAAAUGUUUGAUUUUACAUUUAGACAGUGAAUAUAAACUAUCGAUCAAGUUGACUUAUAUGGUCCAUAUAUAUAUAUAUAUAUAUAUAUAUAUAUAUAGUUUGCCAACAUAAAUCUAACAAGAAAAAAAUGCUUCCUUAUAAAUACUUAUACGGAUGCUUCCUUAUAAAUCCUUAUAUGGAUUUGUUUGUGCUUUUUUGCCAUGCGUUGUAUAUGUUUUAUGUGGAACGCUUCUAGAACGGGUAGUCCAGAUUCAUAUAUUGUCCGACGAAAAAGCAAUCAUUAGUUGGCGCUAACUAAGUUUUAUGCAGGGAUUUGACUACUCAUCUGGAAUAUGGCAAUUUGAAGGGUAUGGAUUUGUGCCAAAUGGAACCUCUGGUGCUACAGUAGCACAGAUCCAUGGAGCAGCUAAGGGUGCUACGACUAUAAUCCUAAGAAUCUAUAACGGCGACAUGAGGUAUUAUAGUCGAGAUUUGGUGGGUACAAAUCUUUACGAUAAGUGGUUCAGACUUAACAUAAUCCAUGACGUCGACGGAGGGAGCGUGACUAUUUUCAUUGACGGAGUCCAGAAAUUUCGGGUGAAGGAUCAAGGGCCAGGAGAUUUGUACUUCAAAUGUGGAGUUUAUGCUGCACCGGCUAACAUUACCUACUACAUGGAAUCACGUUGGAAAGACAUUGAAAUAUAUAAAAAGUACUGAUGACUACCGAGGCCAGUCUUGAGAUUUUAGAGACCUUGUGCAAGAUCCAAACGGGGCCCUUACAUGGCCUAAAAUUUUGGUUGCUAUAUUUUCUUUUAUACUUUUUAUUUUUUAUGUGUAAAAAUUGAUAUAACGCACAAGAAAAUAAAUAAAAAUGAAACAUGGUGUGUUGGGUUUGUGUAUCUAUCUGCAUCCCUUAUGUUUUUGGGUUCAAAACUCCUUGCUUUUUAAUAGAAAAAGCAUGGCACGGUGGAUAUGUACUUAUCAUAUCACCAUUCAAAUAUUAUAAUUAGAACUAUUCUUGCUCUUUAUUAUCAUCCAGAGUUCAUCUCAAGAAAAAUUUAUUUAUGUGUAAACAAAUCAUUGAUAUAUGGAUGACAAAAUGGUUUUCAAAUAAAAUGAAAAUUAGAUGACCAUCAAAUAGUGACUAGAAAAUAAAUGGUUAAAUGAUAUCGUAUAAGAAAAAAAAUGAGGCUUUUAAAGAUUAUAUCUUCAAACUUUUAAAAUUUUAAUUUAUUAUGACAUUCCUAAUUAUAGAUUUAUUAGCAAAAGUUAUCUUUUAUAAUGAAAGAAAAUAACUACAUAUAUUUAAAACAAGAAAACAACAGUGUAGCUAAAAAAGCCUAGAGAAGGUAAUCGUGCGGCACACUCUGUGGCAUCUGUUGCAUUCAAAAAUGAAGGGAAGUAUAUUUGGGCUUGUAUUGGUCCUCAAAUCUUGUUUAAUACUCGGAGGAUGUAAUUGUAUCCAUUUGUAUCUAACAAUAUCUAUCUACCUUUGAAGAAAAAAAAAACCCUCAAAACAUGCCCAAUAUGAAAUAAACACAGCUGAAAAAAAAAUUCAUAAUUAAAAAUAAAUGUAUCCAUUAGUAUUUAAUAAUACUUAUCUAGCUUUGGAGGAAGAAAAAAACCCCAAAAAAAUGCCCAAUAUGAAAUAAACACGGCUGAAAAAAAAUUCAUAAUUAAAAAUAUAGGUAACCACGGAAUCGAACGUGUGCACACCUAGAUAGCAAAAACAAUGCUUGCCAAAUCGGCUAUGACAACGUCGUUUGAUAUGCUCACGUUUAUAGUAUAUAUCUAGUAUAUUACAAAGGUUAUUAAAUUUAGGGGCCCCAAAAAAACGGGGGCCCUGUGCGGUCUCACUCCUCGCACCCCCUCAAGGCUGGCCCUGAUGACUACUGUUGAAGUGAACUAUUAUGCUAGCUAGCUAGCUUUAUAUAUAGAGAUGUUUCCAUGUCAAUGCAAUGCAAGCUUCCACAGCUUCAAAGUAUAACCAUGUAACUUAAGAUUGGUUGAUUGGGUGUCUACUCACAAGCGUUUUUGUUAAAAGUGUUUGUAGUAUAAACAUGUUAAAAUUUUCAUUCAAAUCCAAGUACUUGCUAAAAAAUGUUGUUGUAUAUGGUCAUAAGUACUUUUAGUUACAAAAAGCACUUCUAAUUCUCUAUCAGCAAUCCCAAAUGACCCUUAGUAUAUUAACUAAUUAUUUUUAGUUGAGUAAUUAUUAAAGUUACUGACGAAAUUUUUUUUAUUAAAGUUGUCUAAUUGAUAAUAUUAAGAGGAAAUUUACAUUUUUCUUUAUUUUUUUGGUAUUUGAUUAUGGAUUUUAGAGGAAAUUUUACAUUUUUUCGUUUUCUUCGCGUUAUUUUGGUAAACACAUGGAGAAAUUAGAAAGUGAAAUAUUUUUUUCAUCCGUAUUUUAGUAAACAACAUUAUACUUUUUCAUUUCUCAAAUGUCACCAUUGUUAGUGAAAUCUAGCUCGUUGCACCCUUAAGACUGACAACACUACAAAACUAACCCCUCGAAAAGAAUGAAAAUUACAGUUUGAUCCCCAAUUACAGUUUGAUCCUAAUUCGGCAAAUUCCCCAAUGCCUUCCCCAACUACUUUUCCCUUUUUGCCCUUAUUGCUGAGUGGUUUCGCUCCUCUCGUGUCUAUUUUCCUUUGACCUUGCUGCCCUUUCCCCUUUGCCCUUUGCCCUUUUUGCCCUUUUUGCCUUUUGGUGCGUCGUUUAGAGCCUCGGCCUUGUCGUAUCCUCCCUGUUCGCCCUCCUCCUGGUGCUGUCCAAUGGCGGUUGGCUUCUUCUUGACCUCUACGAUCUCGGUGAUUCGUUUGAAUUGCAGACGGAGAGGGGGACGGGCCUUGUCUGAAAUCUGUUUCAUCAUUCCGGCGUUUGGAUUGCUUUUGGCAGUAGUGAAAGAAGCGGUCCAUUGGUUGUCGUCGCGGAGUUCGAUCGCCAGUUUGACAUCCUCAGGCGUAUGCACGUAUGCAUCAGUCCAUAGCUUGAGAUUAGAAAUGUUUCGGUUGAGAUUUUCUUGCGAUUUAGCAAGAACCUGCUGGGAUCCUUGAACGGCGCGGAGAUCCGUCAGCGAUUGAAAUUUGCAGGCGCCACCGGACAUGAAGGCACUGAACGCCGCCAUCUGAAGAAGGAGAGAGUGUUAGUGUUAGGGUUAGGGUUAGAGAGUGUAGAGAGAGGGGAGAGAAGAGAGAAAAAAGAGAGAGGAGAGAGGAGAGAGAAGAGGAUACCUCUGCGCUGCGGUGGUUUUGAGAGCAGAGAGCAGAGAGAGAUGCGCUGCGGUAGUUUCUUGAGAGCAGAGAGCAGAGAGAGAUGCGCUGCGGUGGUUUCUUGAGAGAUAGACUGAAUUUUUGGAAUGAAUUGCACCGGGUGGCUGCUUUUAUAAGCGAAUUGGAGGGAAAUGGAGGGAAAAAGUGUGCAAUUUAUAGGUUUUCUGCGUGUGGUUUGUAUCAGGUUAUGGGCAAGGAUAAUGGGCGAUUCCACGUAAGUUUUCUAAAUAUGCCUCACAUAUAUAACGAGUGUUUUCUUAAAAUGCCACUGAGUAUGCCUAGCUCACACAUGAGUACAGCAGCAGCAAGUUGGUAACUUAUUUUUAUGAAACCGUGAGACCACACCAGAGUAAGCAGGCCGUAUGCCUUUAAUGAAAAUUUGCAUCUUAUGCACUCUUCCUACGCUGCGCAUCACUGAAAUGAUUCUAUGCUAAUGAUUCAUCAGACUCUUGGAGUGACACCAAACAAAGGAGUCUGCUAAUGAUGAUUUGGUUUGUUGAUUUACUAACAAUGAGGAUAUGUUUCCACAGCGUUAUGUGAAACUUGCUGCUGUAAAAGAGUGAAUUUCUGGUAGGCACGGGAUUGUAAGUGUUUGCCCAAUUAUAACACGCUUAUUUGUCUUCAUCAACUUAGUUUUCUCCCACUCCCUACUCACAUGUAUCAUCAUCCGCACAGAAUUCGCGGUAUACUUUUUUUCACUUCGUUGGUCAAAUUGCUCAAAUUCAAAGUGUAAAAAAAGCUGCAGAAUUCAGUGCUGAUCAUGCGCGCUAUGGCAUUCUUCAGUUUUAUCGCUUACUUCAAAGGCAAGUAUGGCUCUGAUGAUUCUGAUACAGCAAAAGUCCUGUAAAUGCAUUAGACGAGAGUGGAGUGGAUCCAUCUGGUUGAGGCUUUGAAUGCUUUUGAAGAUUUAGCUACUGGCCCCUCAAAGCCUUUGUAUAUUGAACUAUAACCUGCUAUAUAUAUGGCCGAGUUCGGGGCCAUAACUACCUUCAAUUCAUUACGAGCCAGUAAUCAAACCAACGAAUUUGUUGACGUCUCACUCGUGCAAGGGACUUGCUAUUCAUUGAUCACAGACGACAUUAAAUGACUUCGAAAAAGAUGAUUUAAACUACAAAAUCAUCAGCUCGUCCAGAAACUCAAUCCUUGAUGGUCAAAUGACAUAUCCCAAAACCAAUGUGGUUUAAAAUCUCAUCAAAGGCAUAACUGCGGAACUUAUUCUGAACAGGAUAAAUUGCGCAAAACAAAAUAUUAAGAGAGAAUUGGCCUUGGAGCCAUGAUAGAAGAGGGUGGAUGGAUCUAUUCCCCUAGCAAAAUGACUUGAGAAAGCCUACAGUUAAUACCAAAUUUGAAAGUAUACGCUGUCCUGAAGACUUGCCAUGCUUUAGAAUGUUGUGCUUCCCAAGUUCUAUAAGGCUUGUGAAAUGAACAACAUCCAGUCGAACGUAGGCAUUAAUAAGUAAGCCGAAACAAAUUAAGCGCAAGUGUCCACGAGGACCAUAACUUAAACUAAAAUAAACGUAACGAUCGAUCAUGACAACUGAGUCAGUCCACCACAGCAAGAUUUAAGUACUCUUUGUCACAGAUGGCGGAUUCCAGGGCAUGCUUGGGGCCAACUUCCCCCUCAGUAUCCAGGAACAACUUGAUGAAAUUGUCCGAGUAGCCGGUGAGGAUGGUCACCCCUGGUAUUCUUGAAGGAGGCUCGACACAGUUGCCGGCAGCGCCCUUGUUCCACAACUGCCAGAACACUAUGUGUGGCACCGCAUCCCCAUAACCUUUCUCCUCAAACUUUCUUUGUAUUGCCCGGUAAGUAGUUGGCCAGUGACCGUCGGCAUUAGAUAUCUCAAAGCCAUAAUGAGUGAAAACUAGCACCUUCUUGAUCAUUUGCUCCGGCUUCAAAUUGGCAUUCACAGCCUCUUGGAGGAUCAAAUCAAGCACCGUGUGGAAAGGACAAGUUUCGGUGUGGUCCAUGCCCCUCAGAAAGGCACACUGGGACUUGAGAUCAUUUCCACCUUGUAUCAGACGCAGAUCAGGAUAUCGAGCGAAAGGGACGACCUUUCCUUUCCAGGGCUGUUCACUCAGCUGAGACACCAGUAACCCAAAAGCCACCGACACAUCCUGACCUCGCAGACUCGUGGGCUUCGAGACGUUACAUACAGCCAAGCAAUUCUUCCACUUGCCUUUGUUGAACAAGUCCUCCACCAUUGCCUUCCAGUGAAGUUGAGCAACGUCCCCUACAUCGGGAUUGUCCACAUAGUGUAUCACCCUAUGCGGAAGCAGCAGCAGCGAAGUAGGUUCAUCAUCAAUCUUAAUCUCGCAGCGGCCGGCUUUCACGUCCUCCAGAUACUGUUUAAUCCUACACUUGCCGCCAAAAGUGUCAUAACAUGUCAUCCUCCUCACUGGCAGCAAAACCUCCUUGGUCAGCCGGCUUCGCGCUCUUGACGUGUAAUCGGCCUCCUCUUCAAUACUUUUUUUUUUCGGACGUACCUCUUCAAGACCUUGGUAUCCAUCUUGUCGCGGAAAAAGCUUCCUCGCAAUGCUUUCACACAGCUGCGUGGCAGCCCGGUAGCCAGCGUAUGGGAGACAUGCCGCAGCCCAGCUAAACUCGAUAUAAUUAUCAUCACCAUCCUCGUUCUCAUUCAUCCUCUUGUUCUUGCUCUUCAACUUUUCAAUAUCAGACUUUAGGUAGUUUGCGAAAAAACCAGAAACCCGGUCGUGUAAAAACUGAAAAUCAGGGUCGCGAUGGUACAUCUCGGCAGCCUUAUUGGCAAUGGCAAUGGUCUUGUCUCUGAUUCGACAAUGGACGUCAUCAGAAUUUGAGUGUUGGCUGCUGAUUAGUUGUAGAAGAACAAGGCGGUAGAUAAUCUCGACAAAUCGCGACCGGAGUUGCCGGCAAGGGGCUCGAUGUUGGAGGCUAAGGUUUUGGGGUGGUUGUGGUGGAGCCAUAGCAAGGCACUGUGGAACAAUUCAUAGUCGGUGGUUUGUCCGAGAUAACGAAUGAGCUUGAGGGUGGUGAGGGGACUGUGGAACCAGGCCAGCGGCAGAAGUUGAUGGUUUAGAUAUCUGUGAGAGGAGGCGGAGGCUUUCUGCCUGUAGGAGGAAUUCACCUCUACAGCCAACAGAAAACGCAACAGAUCAAUGCAGGGGUUAGUGUUAACACUCUCCAACUCCAACCCCGAUUCGGAUUCCAAUUCCGUUACAUCCUCCUCCUCCUCAAUAUUAAUCUCAUUUGAAGAGAAAUUUGAGCAUAAUUUCAGUGGCCUCUGUGGUGGAUAUUUACUGUUAGGAGGAGCAAAUACCAGUGCCAUUGAUCUCAAACUAGUAUUAUAAGGACGAAUUAUUGGGAGCUGAGAAAUAUUGUUAUCGAUAUUAUUCUUGUGUGCUUCUACCCUGAAGGGGGAGAGAAUUUUACCCAUAGCUUUCAUCAUGACGUCAGACUGCGACUGCAACUGCGGGAGACCAAGAACGAGGCGGAGAGGCGGCUGCUUAUCUUGGUUUAGGGCACCAAGAACAACUCCACUACGUCUUUAUUAGAAGAGAGGUAGGAACUCAGGACUCCAUUCGACUCCUUGUUUUUUGGGAUCCACUCAUCGAACUCUUAUUAGAAGAGUAAGACUGACACACAUGUACCAGAAGCAUAGAGAUACGAUGUGAUACACCAUGUGUUCCUAUAUAAACCUGCCCUUUGACUCAUUUUGAGGAGAUUUUUCAGUGUGACCGUCAAACGAUGUGAUACACCAUGUGUUCCUAUAUAAAUGGUGAGUUAUGCGUUUUAAAAGAUUAACAACUUAAAAAUUAAAUUUUUCACCACUUGCAUAAAAACACAUGGUGUAUCAUCUAUUUUCUUGUCACAACUAAAAAUUUCUCUUUGACGUGGGCUUAUCAAAGAAUCAGAUUUUGACAUCAUGUAAACAUUCGAUUAGAUCUCACUCUGAUAUUUAUCAAAUAUUAAUCCACAAGUCAUAUUUGAUAAUUCAUAAGAAAAACUAAUGAAAAAAGGAACUUUGAGUUUUAAUGAAAAAUCAUCAUAUAACUUUAUUUAAUAAUUAGUACAAAGUUGAAUAUUAAACAAGUCCAAUUAAAAUAGCCCACCCAAAAUAACAUAUUGAUUUCUCUGUUUUGACCCUGACGUUUUUGGGUUAUGUUUGUUUUGUUUUCCGUUAGUUUAGUCAUGUCGAAGAACUGAGUUAUAAAGGCCAAUCACUUCACUUUUGCAGAUUUUUUAAUUUAGGGUUUUGAAUUGAUUGCUUUCUGUUAUCCAGCUAGGGAUUUUUGGCCUUUAGGAACUUGAUCAAAUUAGGUUUUUUUUCCUUCUUGUUCCUGUUCAAAGAAUCAAGCAUAGAAGAAGAGGAGAUGGCGACAGAGGAUGCAAAGCUGACAAGAGGGAACCAACUGCUAAUAGUCAACGACAAUCUCAGAGAAAUGGGCAAGAAGGUCCGGCGAAGAAACAAAGAGACCAGAAAUCAUUUUCAAUUCUUCAAUUCUUGUUAAUUCUUUUGGCCCCCUAGCUAAGAUACGGGAUGUUCGUUCAAAUCUCUUACAGAUCCUCAGAUGAAGAGUGCAAUUUUGGUUUUUGGGAUGACAUUAAGAAGUCAGAAGAAGUUAAAAUAGAGUUUUGAUUCAAUAUGAUGCAGUUGCUUGUAAUAUUAUGUUGUUCUUCUAUCUUUGUCAAUCAGAAAACACAUACAGGAAGAUGUAAUCCAAAAAAAAAAACCAAAUGAGUGUUUGGGAUUUAAGAUUUGAUACCUGGGUUCUGAGAUUGGAUCGAAGAAAACGAUUCAUCCCCAUAUUUUUUAAAUUUCUUUUAUCUUCUGUAACAGAACAUGCAAAGAAUGAGAGUUCUUCAGUGACUGGGAGUCUCUGAGGGCCCUUGGUGACUAGUCAGUCUUUCUACACUAAAGUGAAAUGAAAGAUGCUGCCAAAUGUGUCUCAAAAUGUUUCAAUACCACAUUGCCCAUUAUAUUUGCCUUUAUUAUCCAAAUCACCAAUGCUUAAUAAUGAUGGUGAUUACAUAUAUCAUAAUCAUUGACUCUGCUGCACAAGUGGAAAUGUGGAAUCAUCUUUUUCUCUCAAACUUCGCAAAUGUGGGAUUUGCUUGUAACAAUAUUUCUCAUUCGAGCGAUAUUUUAAUAUAAUAUUGUUACAUAAAAAAAAGUUUGAAUAUGAAUGUUUACACUGUCUAGUUAACUUGUCUACGUCUAGAACUACAUUAUUUUGUCAUUAGCAAAGCAUAAACUUAAAACUAUUGUCAGUAGAGAAAUGUGAUCUGGCGAAGAAACAAAGAGACUGGAAAUGUCUGUCCUUGAACUGAAACUGGAUGGAAUCCCUAGACGACAUUCAAAGCGCCAUGAGGAAGUUUCUCUUUGCAAUCUAUGUAUCGUCAGUUGCUCAUGCGUUUGUUCGCAAAAUUUGAUAUCAUUAAUAAAAAUGGCAGAGUUCUACACCCAUGGAUUUUUCUUAUCGAUACAUAAGCUUAUAUAAUGUUUUUAGGUGGUGGCGCUCGUUUGGUGUAGGUGGUGUUGAAUACCAAAAAUUUUCCAUCUGUGAGAUCCCACCGAAGCGCCUUCGGUUUGGGAGAUGAUGGCAAAUCCAAGCCAACAAGAAGACAACAAAGAUGAAGCAUGAGAAGAUGGUGGGAUCCAAGUUUUGGGUGCUGGUUUGAUUUUGGUUUGUCACGAUGAUUUUAAUGGUGAUGCGGUGCGGCAGUGAUGUGGUCUACAACUAGAGAUGUGAAAAAAGAGAGAAAAAAUGGUUGAGAAGGUGAAGAAAUAACUACAAUAUUUCUCAAGAUGAAUGAAGAUAACUCACACUAUUUCAGAAACUGAACCAAAAUAGCCCACAUUGUUUCUAGAAGUACAACAAAAUAACUCACAUUGUUUCUCAAACUGAACCAAAAUAAUCAACACUAUUUAUGGAAUUGCAGCAAAAUAAUCAACGCUAUUUCUGAAACUAUAGCAAAAUAACUCACACUAUUUCUGAAACCACAGCAAAAUAAUCUACACUAUUUCUGGAACUAAAUCAAAAUAACUCACACUAUUUCUGAAAUUACAGCAAAAUAACCUACACUAUUUCUGAAACUAAACCAAAAUAACUCACACUAUUUCUGAAACUAUAGGAAAAUAACUUACACUAUUUCUGAAACUGAACAAAAAUAAACCAUACUAUUUCUUAAACUAAACCAAAAUAACACACAUUAUUUUUGAAGCUAUAGCAACAUAACCUACAUUAUUUUUGAAACAGAGCCAAAAUAACUCAUACUAUUUCUAGAACUACAGCAAAAUAGCCCACACUAUUUAUGAAAACUAAAUCAAAAUAAUCUACACUAUCUCUGGAAAGGAACAAAAUAAACAUUAUUUUUUGGAAUUACAGCAACAUAACCCACAUUAUUCUGAAUAAAUAAUGUUUAUUUAUUAGUCCAGUUUCAUAAAUAGUGUUUACUUAUUGGUCUAGUUUCAUAAACAGUGGCUAGUUCUGGGUCCAGUUUCAUGAAUAAUGCUUAGUUAUUGGUUCAAUUUCAUAAACAGUGUUUCUAUCUUAGUCUAGUUUCACAAAUAGUUUCCACCUAUUGGUUUAGUUUUAGAAAUAGUGUCUCAUUCUUGAUUGGGUUUCAUAAACAAUGUCUACUUAUUGGUCAAGUUUCAUAAAUAUUGUCUCCUUAUUAGUCCAAUUUCAUAAAUAGUGCAUAGAUCUUGUUCCACUUCCAUAAAUAGUGGCCUAGUUCUUGAUUCAGUUUCAUAAAUAGUGCCUAGUUCUUGGUCCACUUUCAUAAAUAGUAGUCUUGUUCUUAGUCCAGUUUCAUAAAUAGCUCCUACAGUUUUGAUGAGCCCCUGUUUGGCUGCGCGAAUAACUUUUUUGGCUUUAUCUCUAGCUAGAUAAGAGGUUAAAAUGUUCACAUAAGCUUUAAUAAUAAAAAAAGAUAACACUAAUAUUCUUCAACCGAAAUGUCAAAUCUUAUGUGGUGAUACAUGAAUUGGCAGAAGAGAAUUACUAUCAAAUUUGACAAUAGCUUCAAUUACUAUCAAAUCAGGGGAGUAUUACGUUUUAAUCAUUAUUUUUUAUGAUUAAUUUAUUAUUUUGAAUUGAUAUACAUGAUAUUGAUUCAAUUUAAUUUUUCUAUGUUAAACGUGAUACAACACAUUGGAGAUGCAAUUCCAGCUUUCCGAGAAGGAUCUUCUACACAUUCAAAGGCUCCUGUUGUUUUCUACCAAUCAGGUACGCUUAAAAUAAAGUAGGAUAUUUGAAACGACCUUGAAGCAUGAAAACAUUCCCCAUGAUGCAUGAACCCCCUAUGUUUAUAUUUUCCUUCCGAUAUAUAU